GCAAGUCGAACGGUAACAUGGAGAGCUUGCUCUCUGAUGACGAGUGGCGGACGGGUGAGUAAUGCGUAGGAAUCUGCCCAACCGUGGGGAAUAACCUGGGGAAACCCAGGCUAAUACCGCAUACGUUGUGCACUUAGGUGCAGAAGAAAGCGGGGGACCUUUCGGGGCCUCGUGCUGAUGGAUGAGCCUACGUCCGAUUAGCUAGUUGGUGAGGUAAAAGCUUACCAAGGCGACGAUCGGUAGCUGGCCUGAGCGGGUGAUC
RNAcentral lists this ribosomal RNA (262 nucleotides) under uncultured bacterium. Its description in RNAcentral is "partial 16S ribosomal RNA". It matches the Rfam family "Bacterial small subunit ribosomal RNA", at positions 57 to 305 of the family's 1533-position model. The record is from RNAcentral.